Long non-coding RNA from Chinchilla lanigera (long-tailed chinchilla), 1085 nucleotides. RefSeq lists it as uncharacterized. Lineage: Eukaryota; Metazoa; Chordata; Mammalia; Rodentia; Chinchillidae. The record is from RefSeq and is a predicted model, not a curated record. The transcript is spliced from 4 exons.
GGCAACUCCCUUGUCACGGAGUGCGUGCUGCUCCUGCCUGUCCUGGGAGGCUCCCAGCCGUGGCAUCCUGCAGUGACUUGCACACGUCUCCUGGUCCACAUGAAUGCCGGACUUCCAGGCAGCCACACCACACUGCGUCUGGAGCCCAGAGCCGACAGCAGGUGGAGACUGGCACAGGAGAGGGUGUGGACAGCGGCCGGUACUGAGCCACAGCGCUGGCGGAGGGGCCUCCAGGAGGAGCUCUCCAGGCUCUGGGGUCUUCUGAGGGGACCACGGACUCCCUGAAGCGACUCAAGGGCCUUGAGGAGCCGGUGGACACUGGGAGUGCGUGGUGCUGUGAGUCGGCCCAAGGGCACAGCUACAGGCCCAGGGAGGCCCCAAGGGGAAGGAGGCCGGGUUGGCAUCUGUCCUGCGUGCUGCCCCAGUGCAGGCGGGGAAUUUGUACAGAGUCCCGGAAGGGGAUGGGCCACCUGCAGAAGAGAGGAGGUCCCCAAACUCCACGUGUCACACUGUACCUCAGUGGAUGGACAGGUUAAACGCAAAACAUUCCAUCACCCAGUAGGAAAAAGUACAGAGGGCGCCGUGUCAUCUGGUGUGAGCACACUUCUUUCCCACAUUAAAGGGGGCAGACACAAGGUGACACAAGCAUGCGAGCCGGGGCCUGGAUGACUGUGCGCAGAACCCACAGGAAAAGUAGAAAUACCAGCAGCCAGUAGUCCCUGACGGUGCGCCAUUUCUCCAGCGAUUACUGAGGCGUUAAUUAAAAUGGGGCACCCUUUCUCGUCCACCAAGCUGGCAGACACAGGAUCUGCUCACUCUCAGCAUGGGCAGGGCGUGCAUGCCAGGCCAGUGGGAAAUGGGGCAAAGGUCUUCUGUGUCUCACCAAGCAGACGCUCCCUACCUGCAGGAAGGGCAGCACCGCCUCUUGUAAUAUGCCCUAAAAAGCGAAUCGAAGCCAGGCGCGGUGGCGCACACCUGGAAUCCCAGCACUCCGGGAGGGCGGGCCAGGAAGAUUGUGAGUUCACGCCCAGCCUGAUCAACUUUGAGAUGGAGUGACCCUGUCUCAAAAUGAAAACUAGAAAAUG